Molecule: ribosomal RNA, 499 nt
Filed under: uncultured bacterium
Lineage: Bacteria
Description: partial 16S ribosomal RNA
Rfam family: Bacterial small subunit ribosomal RNA
Source: RNAcentral
GACGAACGCUGGCGGCGUGCCUAAUACAUGCAAGUCGAGCGAAGUUUUUCUGGUGCUUGCACUAGAAAAACUUAGCGGCGAACGGGUGAGUAACACGUAAAGAACCUGCCUCAUAGACUGGGACAACUAUUGGAAACGAUAGCUAAUACCGGAUAACAGUAUUUCUCGCAUGAGAGAUAUUUAAAAGUUGGUUAUGCUAACACUAUGAGAUGGCUUUGCGGUGCAUUAGCUAGUUGGUGGGGUAAAGGCCCACCAAGGCGACGAUGCAUAGCCGACCUGAGAGGGUGAUCGGCCACACUGGGACUGAGACACGGCCCAGACUCCUACGGGAGGCAGCAGUAGGGAAUCUUCCGCAAUGGGCGAAAGCCUGACGGAGCAACGCCGCGCGAGUGAAGAAGGAUUUCGGUUCGUAAAGCUCUGUUGUUAGGGAAGAAUGGAUAUGUAGUAACUAUACAUGUAAGAGACGGUACCUAACCAGAAAGCCACGGCUAACUACGUG